UUAUUCGGUAAGUUCUGUCCAACUUGUACGCGCAAACGUGACACGGUUCGGUGUUAAAAAUUGUGAACCAUCAUCGUUGUAACCUACGAAUCCUACGCUUUAUUGGUUAGAGGUAACAGCGGUCGUUUUUGAAAAUGGAAAUACUUUCCGUGCGAGGUAUUAGACUCGCAUCCAGUUUAGGGUUCAGACCGUUGUUAACGACGAAAAAUUUAUUAGAGUCAACGUGUUUUCUGCGUUACAGCGAUCGUUUGAAAUUCAAACUGUCUGAGAAACAGUUGCUUCAAAGAAAUCUAUCGUACAAUUAUGUCCCAUUUUUCAAACGAAUUAGUGCGUGCGAAACGCCACUUUGUAAGUUCAACAAAAAUAUUUUGGUUACGCGAUAUUGUCAAUCAAAGACCAGUAAGGAUGCUGCUAAAGAAGGACAGCCAGCUAAAGUAUCAAUAUUUACUAAAAUGAAACAAAUGGGUAAGGACUACUGGCACAUAUUGCUUCCAGUUCACAUUGUCACCUCUGUAGGUUGGCUGGUUAUGUUCUAUUUAACCAUUAAGAACGGGGUAGAUAUUGUACAGGUCAUGGAAUAUCUGAACUUUAGUGAUAAGUAUUUAGACAGGAUACGAAACACCAGUGCAGGAAACUGGGCUUUAGCGUAUGUUCUUUUUAAAAUUGCCACACCUCUUAGGUACACACUUACCGUAGGAUGUACAACAAUGGCUAUCAAGAUUCUUAGCAGAUCAGGAUUAGUCAAACCUCUACCAUUUGGCAAACAGAGUCAGGUGAUAUUCAAGACAACAGAAUCAAAUAAAACAGCGAUGCAACAAAAACAAUUAAAAGUAGAACGACACACGGAGCCACCAAAAACGUAGCAGCAAGAACUCAUCGAUCAAGUACCACCUGGAUAUGAAGCUUUCAUUUUCUUCUUUCGUGUAGUCUGAGGACUACAUGGAUCGAAUGGAUGUACAGUGUCUCUUCGACAACGUUCCUUUACGCCUUAUGUAAAUUCCUGAGAAGUAUUGACGAAUCUCAAGAGUAUUGUAUAAGUUCGGAUAAUUGUAUUGUCAUAAUAAAUACUGUUAGCAAACGCAA
Megachile rotundata (alfalfa leafcutting bee) is the source of this 1083-nucleotide RNA transcript. It is a transcript of the gene named protein FAM210A, with no coding region annotated. The record is from RefSeq and is a predicted model, not a curated record. Lineage: Eukaryota; Metazoa; Arthropoda; Insecta; Hymenoptera; Megachilidae.